RNAcentral lists this ribosomal RNA (1959 nucleotides) under human oral metagenome. RNAcentral's name for it is "bacterial LSU rRNA". It matches the Rfam family "Bacterial large subunit ribosomal RNA", at positions 1 to 1988 of the family's 2925-position model. The record is from RNAcentral.
GUCAAGUACAAAGAGCAUCAGGUGGAUGCCUUGGCACUGGGAGCCGAUGAAGGACGUGAUAAGCUGCGAUAAGCUGCGGUAAGGAGCACAUAUCCGAUAUACCCGCAGAUUUCCGAAUGGGGGAACCCACAUACGGUAAUGCGUAUGUAUCAUUAAGUGAAUACAUAGCUUAAUGAAGGGAACGGGGUGAACUGAAACAUCUAAGUAGCCCUAGGAAGAGAAAGAAAAAUCGAUUUCCUUAGUAGCGGCGAGCGAAAGGGAAAGAGGCCAAACCAGACUGUUUACAGUUUGGGGUUGUGGACCACCAACAUUGACGAAGUUAUGCAAGCCGAAUAGAACUGGAAAGUUCAAGCAGAGAAGGUAAUACUCCUGUAGGCGAAAGCAGAAAGCGCAUAGGUGGCACCAGAGUAGGACCGGACACGUGUAACCCGGCCUGAAGCAGGAGGGACCACCCUCCAAGCCUAAAUACUACCCAGUGACCGAUAGCGAAUAGUACCGUGAGGGAAAGGUGAAAAGAACCCCGGGAGGGGAGUGAAAUAGAAUCUGAAACCUGAUGCUUACAAGCAUAGGGAGCGCAAGUGACCUAGUACUUUUUGUAGAACGGGCCAACGAGUUAUGGUAUGUAGCGAGGUUAAGUUGCUGGAGCAACGGAGCCGUAGAGAAAUCGAGUCUGAAUAGGGCGAGAGUUACAUGCUGUAGACCCGAAACCGGGUGACCUAUCCAUGAGCAGGUUGAAGUAACCGUAAAAGGUUAUGGAGGACCGAACCUAUAUCUGUUGAAAAAGGUUAGGAUGACUUGUGGAUAGCGGUGAAAUUCCAAUCGAACUCGGAUAUAGCUGGUUCUCCUCGAAAUAGCUUUAGGGCUAGCCUCAAGGUAAAGAUACACGGGGGUAGAGCACUGACUGUUCGCGGGGCCUUCACCGGUUACCAACAACUAUCAAACUCCGAAUACCGUGCUAUCAUACUUGGGAGUCAGACUAUGAGAGAUAAGUUCCAUGGUCGAAAGGGAAACAGCCCAGAUCAACAGCUAAGGUCCCAAAGAGUAAGUUAAGUGGAAAAGGAUGUGGGAUUGCACAAACAGCUAGGAUGUUGGCUUAGAAGCAGCCAUACAUUUAAAGAGUGCGUAAUAGCUCACUAGUCGAGUGAUCCUGCGCCGAAGAUAAACGGGGCUCAAACUUACCACCGAAGCUUUGGAAUUAGUAUAACUAAUUGGUAGAGGAGCAUUCUAUACAGGCAGAAGGAGGCGCGUAAGCAAAUCUGGACAGUAUAGAAGAGAGAAUGUUGGCAUGAGUAGCGUAAGGCGGGUGAGAAUCCCGUCCGCCGAAAAUCUAAGGUUUCCUGAGGAAGGUUCGUCCUCUCAGGGUAAGUCGGGACCUAAGCCGAGAGCAAACGCUGUAGGCGAUGGAUAACAGGUUGAUAUUCCUGUACCACCAAGGAUUGUUUGAAUGAAGUGGGGACACAGAAGGAUAGAUUGAGCACGCCGUUGGUUGAGCGUGUCCAAGCAGUGAGGCUUGAAAGUAGGCAAAUCCGCUUUCUAUAAGGUUGAGCUGUGAUGGGGUGGUCGUAUGACCGGUAGCAAUCGAUUUCACGCUGUCAAGAAAAGCCGCUAAUGAGAUCCAAGGUGCCCGUACCGCAAACCGACACAGGUAGAUGAGGAGAGAAUCCUAAGGUGAGCGAGAGAACUAUUGUUAAGGAACUCGGCAAAAUAACCCCGUAACUUCGGGAGAAGGGGUGCCUGCUUCGGCAGGCCGCAGUGAAGAGGUCCAGGCAACUGUUUACCAAAAACACAGGUCUCUGCUAAAGCGAAAGCUGAUGUAUAGGGGCUGACGCCUGCCCGGUGCUGGAAGGUUAAGGGGAAGUGUUAGGGCAACCGAAGCACAGAACUUAAGCCCCAGUAAACGGCGGCCGUAACUAUAACGGUCCUAAGGUAGCGAAAUUCCUUGUCGGGUAAGUUCCGACC